Molecule: long non-coding RNA, 2638 nt
Organism: Osmia bicornis bicornis
Lineage: Eukaryota; Metazoa; Arthropoda; Insecta; Hymenoptera; Megachilidae
Exons: 3
Source: RefSeq, a predicted model, not a curated record
AAGCUGGCAAAGUUUCAUUAAUAAGUGAGUGUAACACUUGGGUAGUUCUCCAUAUUAGUCGAAACGAAUCGCAGGUGGUCCUUUAUCAGUCAGAGAACUCGACGUCGGUGAAAUCGUGCAUUUCCAGUCGUUGACGAUCGUCGACGGGGGGUAAGACGAUACCCCUAACGUGGCACGAAGAGGCCAGAGGAGGAGGAGAUCGAUAGAACAAACGGGGGAGGGUGACGCCACACCGGAAACCAAGGCUGGUGUCUGGCUUGGAAUUCUGGAAAACUGGCGAACCGUGAUGGUUGCGGCGGUUUUGUCUCAGAAAGCGAAGUCGCGCGGAUCCGGAUGCCGCGAAGAAAAGGGGGAGGAAACGAAGUGAGCUCGCAGACGAGCCGCGAAUAGGGUAGAUAAAGGCAGAAACGAGGAGGCCGAGGAAAUCGGGAAGGAGCAAGGGAUGGGUCGACGACGGAAAGUGAGGAAGGAAGGGAAGUUACUUAACGUCGUGGCAAAAUGGAACGGUAACUAAUUCUGACUAGACCGGCUGAUUUAUCGGCUUCUGGUUCUUCAUCGUUGCCUUUCAACGCACCACGCUCGUAUAACUUCAUUCACGUCCCAAGUAUUCUGUUAGUGAUUUCGCGUUUCUCUUCCUGCGAGCUACGUUUCAUCUUCCGUUCUUUCAAUAGUCAAUGAGUAAAAUUAUUAUUUUUCGUUAUGCAAAGUAGAAAUGACCAACUUAUGUUAACAUCCACGUGUAUUUGGAUACUUGCUGGAAUCAGACUCAAAUGAUUGUUCAAUAUUUUGUUGGACAUUUUUGAAACAUGAAAAUUUUUCAUUAUAAAAUUUGAGUAGCUAAUUUUUCUUACAUAGACAUUGUGUAUAGGUACAAAGGGAGCUAAUAACUUUUCUUCCUGUCGUCGCUGGCGAAGUGUCGUUACUUCGUUUCCUUAUUCCUUCCACUCAAAUUUACUCCUGUUUUCCUCGAUUUUUGUUUUGCCACCAAGCCCGUUCCUCAACUUUCCUACUAGGAAUAAAUAUUUUGAUUGAUAUCGUUUUCAUCGUUCGAUCGCAUUUCCAUUAGCUGAUGAGCUCGUCGAGCGAACGGUCCUCCCGAUUGGAUAGGAAACGAACAGAAAGGGGGCAGAAGCAGGAAGAACCGGAGAAGAAAAAUAAAAAAAGAAUCCAGGCUUUGUGUACCGGUUGACAAGUUCCAACGACGUUGUGCUGCGGCACGAUGCGUUAAACAAAAUGAAAUAUUUAACCCUUUUAGCUAGCGCUUUACCAGAUUAACGGAAAUUGCUAGUCUUACACGGGGGAUUGUGCAGAAAAUAGCACGGAUAAUGCAAAUGAACCGGUGAAUUGAUCUUCCAAAUAGAAGUGGAGAACUAAUGAUUAGAAUAAGCAUUCAGGGGGGUCUAAAUGGAAGGUGCAAGAAGAAGGGCAUCAUUAUAACGUGUCACCGAAGAAAAUUGCCAAGGGGGAAGUUACUUUAGUGCUGUGUGCCACUUAAAAGAUCAAAGCAGUCCUUGGUUUCGCACAUUCUAGCUAGGAGAACGUGUAGGAAACAUUCAAACGACGUGUUCUCCUCCUUUACGUGCUUGCAUCGAAUCGAUAACUCCAUGUUACGCGCUCGUUGUCCUCUUACGGACGGUGCGCUGACCUCUGACGAGUUUCCGAAGCUGGGACAUCCAUCAUCUCGGAAGUCCGUCAGGAUAGGGGAGAGGCUCGUCUAUCAAGGGACCGAUUAGCGACGAUAAAGAUCUCGAAAUGAAUGGACCGUGCCACUCGACCGGCUCAUUGUCCUCCCGAGCGUGCAACGACCACCCUCUGCUCCGCCGCACAAUGCUUCACCCUCUAUGUUUUUGCUAAACAAGAGUGAUGCUCGAAAUUAUUAACCCUUUUGUCACGGAAAACACCAAUAGACGUUCAAUUUUCUGCUUCGUUUUUUGAGAAAAAUUAAACAAUUAUUAAAUUGUCAAUUAACUUACUAUCAAGGAAUUAAUUUGUUACAGAAUUACUUGAAUUUUACUGUCAAGAAAUUCAAAAAUUAUUAAGUCGAACGGUGUUCAUUUUCACUAAAGAUGUUCUUUUACUGAAUUUUAAUUAAUAUUUUUAAUAUUCCCGUAAAAAUUAUAUUAUUAAUUUUAAAUAGACGAUCGAAGCAUUAAAUUAAUUCAUUCCAGAGUAUACCAUAAUGUCUAUUUCUAUUUAUGUAUCUGGUAAAUGGAAAGGUUUAAGGAAUCAAUUACACAGUACACAAAAAUUGUACACGAUAUCGAAGUCUUAUCAAUCAAUUUCCCAAUAUUUACUACAAACAUUUUCCACACUACACCGAAUACCAGCCACAUAAAUUUACUUUAAUCGUGACAGCUAAUGAAAAUGGAUUACCGUUCCUGCUUAAGCAAACAAUUUUCACUCGAGUUCACUGAAUCUAUCUUAUCUGUCCAAACUUUCAUAAAAGUCCCAUUUCAUCCCAUUGUUAGUAUUUUAAGUAAUACAAUAAUUAUUCGUUGCUGAGAGAAGAAAUGUAAGUUGUACUUAGAAAAUUUAUAGAAAGUUUUUAAAAUAAACCUUAUCCUUUCCAUUUUCCUUUGAAGGGAAACAACAUUCUACAACACUCUAUAUGUGAAUUGAAUAAUCCAAGUGUAAUAAA